This is a long non-coding RNA of Lotus japonicus, 361 nucleotides long. RefSeq lists it as uncharacterized. The record is from RefSeq and is a predicted model, not a curated record. Lineage: Eukaryota; Viridiplantae; Streptophyta; Magnoliopsida; Fabales; Fabaceae. The transcript has 2 exons.
CUGAUUUCGUGGGGAGCAAGGGGGGAGGAGAUUUCCGCGAAAACUUGACCAAUCUUCGUGCAGUUCGUCCCUACUUCUAGGUAUCGAGGCGAUGGAGAUCCUUCCGCCGAGGCAUAGCUACUCGAGUUGGAGAUCGAGUUGUAAGUGGUGGAGUAGAGGUAUGAGAAGCAGCUUUGCUUCUCUUCUUGUGGAUUAUGUUGGAGUCUCUUUUACUUUAUGAGAACUCUGUUAUUAAAGUCUUGCUUCCGCCACUGUUAAAGUGCGCAUGUUUAUUCUGAACCUUACUUAUGGUAUUGUAAACUAUUAUUACUGUAUAUCGGGAAACAAGUUAUCUAAAUAAAGUUAUGGUAUGUUUCCAACC